AGGCCAGGAUGAAGCAGGACAUGGUCCAGCUCUGCAGCAUCACAGGGGAAGCAGCCAUACAAUCAGCUGCACAAAGGAGCUUGGCAUCAGCCUGUGGGCUGUGGAUCUAGGAGCCGGCAAUGAAGAAAGGCUUGAAGAAUACAGUUUGCACGUGUAUUGCCCGCACAGGGAGGAGGCAAAGCCAUGAACAGACCUCCUGCUGGCCUCUCCCCGAUUUGGCUGGAGUGUGCAGUUUUGCUCAGGCCGAGAGAGGGCACCCGAGAGCUGAGGCAGCCCCGCCGUUCAACACAAGGGAUGGAAACAGCCUCCCCACACCACACAUCCUUUGAGGUCUGCUUCAUCCUCUGCCCCAGCCAACCUAGGGACCACUCAGACACCUCCAGGAAGCAGUUUCAGGUCGUGGUGAUCUCUACAGGAGAGCAGACAUGGCCUCUUCCCCCAGUUACAGCUUGAGCUGAAUGAAGCCACUGUUUUUUCUAUGUUAACAGAGCUGACCCCUUAGAGCCGGUCAGAAUGAUAGAAAGAAGGACCAGGCAUUUCCCUGGUCAGAGCUUGUGUCUGCAGUGGGAAGCCUCGGACCACACAGGUUCUUCCACAACAGGGAGAGCAAAGUCCAGUUGUUUCUGCUCCAAGGGCCAGGAAGGGGCAUCUGUGCUGGCGCAAACACCAGGUAAAGCCAGCUGAGUUACUGUGACUGUUCAGCCAGAGGUAUGAACUAAAAACCCAUUCCAGUGUUCUGCAAGACUGCUGUCAAAGACAGGCUUCCUCCAGCAGCUUGGCCAAUGGGAGGAAAAUAUACACUCAGAGAAAUAGAGGUCCAAAUACCUUCACACUUCAGGCCCUUCUCUCACAUAUGUUUUUUUUAAUUCACAACCUCUACAAUUACGAUGCUGAAACUUUCCCUGUGGGAAGAUAGCUGCCAUCCUGACAUCUGCAAGUGAAUUGUGAGCAGAAUAAAUCCCUUCAGGUAAUGUUAAAGGACGGCGUACUGCAGUCCUGCAGGACCUGCUGCAACAGCAGCCACAAACAUUGGUUCUCCUUUCCAGAGGCAAUAUGUCUUGAUUGCUCUUCCUGACUGUGUUUGGAAGCUUUUUGAAGAAACGGUUGAUGAAACACAAUUUAAUGCAACAAGAAGUUGAAAUAACCCUAGGCAACUUCCAGAGGGCAGAUGAGCACAGAUCAAAUCCCCAUAAGCAGCCCAUAUGUCCAAAUGUGCCUGGCACCUACAGUGAAACUCACUGGCUGGCCCCAGCUCAAAUUUGGUUAUGGAGAGGCUGUUAGGAUGAAACUAUAUGGCUCUGCUCUUGGGUGCUAAUAAAGGGGAGAUCCUCAACCUCAUAAAUCCUUUAAACAUUCA
This is a long non-coding RNA of Neopsephotus bourkii (Bourke's parrot), 1357 nucleotides long. RefSeq lists it as uncharacterized. The record is from RefSeq and is a predicted model, not a curated record. Lineage: Eukaryota; Metazoa; Chordata; Aves; Psittaciformes; Psittacidae. The transcript is spliced from 2 exons.